RNAcentral lists this long non-coding RNA (1000 nucleotides) under Marmota monax (woodchuck). Lineage: Eukaryota; Metazoa; Chordata; Mammalia; Rodentia; Sciuridae. The record is from RNAcentral.
AAAUUCACACAGACCAAAAUAGAAAAAAAGGUGUUCAAUGAAAAGUCUGUCCACUCUAGCAGCCAAACUGUCCCCACUUGGCACACCAACCCCCAGGUGGCCAUUUUUAGUUCUGUGCGUCCCUUCAGAGUUUCUUUCCAAAACUAUGCCCAAGGGUCGAUUCGUAUUCUCAUUUUACUUCUUUUUACACAAAAGGGAGUUUUCCACUCUGCAUGUGCUUCCCACGCAAUCUCCUAGGUGCUGUCCCAGAGCACCCCCUCUGUAUGUUACAGCUGCGUUACUUAAUGGGUCUCCUAUUGGCGGCCACUUGGACUGUGCUAAAAAGCUUAUUGUACAAGGAGGGGCAAACGGAUAACUCUGCACUCACGCCAUUUCAGAUGUACGCUGGUACCUCUGUAGGAUAAAGUUCCAGAAGGGGGCUCGUACCCUGGAAGGCUCCCCAGGGACAUGUCCUUUAAUACUGUCCCCUGCUCCCUACCAACGACCACUGUUACCGCACUUGUAGGGGUUUCCCUGGUAUCACAGUUAAAACAUGAUACCCCAGAGCGGGGCAUGGUGGCACAUGCCUGUAAUCCCAGCAGCUUGGGAGGCUGAGGCAGGAGGAUCACCAGUUCGGGGCCAGCCUCAGCAAUUUAGUGAGGCCCUGAGCAACUUAGUGAGACCCUGUCUCUAAAUAAAAUAUUUUUAAAAGAGCUGGGGGUGUGGCACAGUGGUUAAGCCCUCUGGGUUCAAUCCCCAGUGCCAAAAAGAAAUGCUUCAGGGUAGCUUAUUUUUGCCUUUGUCUUCAGAGUGGGGCAUCUUUUAACAUAUUUAAGAUGCAUUUGUGGUUCUUUUCCUAUGAACCAUUUUUUUUUCACAUUCUUUGCCUAUUUUUCGCUUGUGACAAGCCCUUUAUAGAUUGGGGAGGUUGGUUCUCUGCCUGUGACAUAAGUUUUAAAUGUCUGUUUCCAAUUUGUCUUUGACGUCGUGUUGUUGUUAUUGUUCGUCUUUGGCAUGCAGA